GGCACAGUGCCAGCAUCUGCGGUUAAUCUGUUUUCUUUGCUUUCUACUAGAAAUAAGUAAAUUAUUAAUAGGUAAAAUUAGGUUAAAUUUGUUUAUUAUGAUAUUAUGUGAUUUAUUUUUGGAGAAGUAGAUACAAUGACAGGGAUUAGAUACCCCAUUAAUACUAUUAGUAAUAUAUCUUAGUUUUAUAACUAAAAUAAUUUGGCAGUGAGUGAUUCUUAUUAGGGGAAGGUGUGGUGUAAAGGACGAUCCGCCUAAUAAUUUACUUUUAUUAUAUUGGUGUAUAUCUGGUUUAAUAUUAUUGUUGAGUGACAGAAGUUGUGUAGUAUAAUUUAAGCCAAGUCUAUGUGCUGUUUAUAAAAGUAUUCAUGCGUUACAUUUAUAAAUAUUUAAUUGUAAUAUUAAAAAAUUUAGGACUUAAAAGUAAUAUUUAAUAAAUUAGUGAAUGUGAAAUAAGUUUAGCUCAUG
RNAcentral lists this ribosomal RNA (468 nucleotides) under Hydatigera krepkogorski. Its description in RNAcentral is "partial 12S ribosomal RNA". The record is from RNAcentral. Lineage: Eukaryota; Metazoa; Platyhelminthes; Cestoda; Cyclophyllidea; Taeniidae.